CACGUAGGGUGCGAGCGUUGUCCGGAAUUAUUGGGCGUAAAGAGCUCGUAGGCGGUCCGUCACGUCGGGAGUGAAAACUUGGGGCUUAACCCCAAGCCUGCUUCCGAUACGGGCGGACUAGAGGUAGGCAGGGGAGAACGGAAUUCCUGGUGUAGCGGUGAAAUGCGCAGAUAUCAGGAGGAACACCGGUGGCGAAGGCGGUUCUCUGGGCCUUACCUGACGCUGAGGAGCGAAAGCGUGGGGAGCAAACAGG
RNAcentral lists this ribosomal RNA (253 nucleotides) under uncultured bacterium. Its description in RNAcentral is "partial 16S ribosomal RNA". It matches the Rfam family "Bacterial small subunit ribosomal RNA", at positions 524 to 776 of the family's 1533-position model. The record is from RNAcentral.